RNAcentral lists this transfer RNA (64 nucleotides) under Peniagone sp. YYH-2013. Its description in RNAcentral is "tRNA-Gly". Lineage: Eukaryota; Metazoa; Echinodermata; Holothuroidea; Elasipodida; Elpidiidae. The record is from RNAcentral.
AUAUAAUUAGUAUAAAAAUUACAUUUAACUUCCAAUUAAAAAAUUCUAUAAAUUAGAAUUAUAU